GAACCUUACCAGCCCUUGACAUGGGACUCGCCGGGAGCAGAGACGCUCCCUUCGGUUCGGCCGGAGUCCGCACAGGUGCUGCAUGGCUGUCGUCAGCUCGUGUCGUGAGAUGUUGGGUUAAGUCCCGCAACGAGCGCAACCCUCGUCUCCAGUUGCCAUCAGGUUAAGCUGGGCACUUUGGAGAAACUGCCGGUGACAAGCCGGAGGAAGGUGGGGAUGACGUCAAGUCCUCAUGGCCCUUACGGGCUGGGCUACACACGUGCUACAAUGGCGGUGACAAUGGGAUGCGAAGGUGCGAGCCGGAGCCGAUCCUAAAAAGCCGUCUCAGUUCGGAUUGCACUCUGCAACUCGAGUGCAUGAAGUUGGAAUCGCUAGUAAUCGAGGAUCAGCAUGCCUCGGUGAAUACGUUCCCGGGCCUUGUCACACCGA
RNAcentral lists this ribosomal RNA (429 nucleotides) under uncultured soil bacterium. RNAcentral describes it as "bacterial SSU rRNA". It matches the Rfam family "Bacterial small subunit ribosomal RNA", at positions 966 to 1393 of the family's 1533-position model. The record is from RNAcentral.